UUGGAGGGCAAGUCUGGUGCCAGCAGCCGCGGUAAUUCCAGCUCCAAUAGCGUAUAUUAAAGUUGUUGCAGUUAAAAAGCUCGUAGUUGAACUUCGGGGUUUACCCAUUGGUCAGGCUUAAUUGUCUGUACUGGUGAGAUGAAUCUCUACCUUCUGAGGAACUUUCAUGCCAUUUAUUUGGUGUGAUGGGAAAUCAGGACUGUUACUUUGAAAAAAUUAGAGUGUUUAAAGCAGGCUAACGUCUGAAUACAUUAGCAUGGAAUAAUGAAAUAGGACGGACUGAUUCUAUUUCGUUGGUUUCUAGGAUCACCGUAAUGAUUAAUAAGGAUAGUUGGGGGCAUUAGUAUUCAAUUGUCAGAGGUGAAAUUCUUGGAUUUAUUGAAGACUAACUACUGCGAAAGCAUUUGCCAAGGAUGUUUUCAUUAAUCAAGAACGAAAGUUAGGGGAUCGAAGACGAUCAGAUACCGUCGUAGUCUUAACCAUAAACUAUGCCGACUAGGGAUCGGACGAAGUUAAUUUUAUAAUGACGCGUUCGGCGCCUUACGGGAAAC
This 551-nucleotide ribosomal RNA is filed under the name uncultured Diversisporaceae. Its description in RNAcentral is "SSU rRNA". It matches the Rfam family "Eukaryotic small subunit ribosomal RNA", at positions 548 to 1098 of the family's 1831-position model. Lineage: Eukaryota; Fungi; Glomeromycota; Glomeromycetes; Diversisporales. The record is from RNAcentral.